Long non-coding RNA from Astyanax mexicanus (Mexican tetra), 210 nucleotides. RefSeq lists it as uncharacterized. The record is from RefSeq and is a predicted model, not a curated record. Lineage: Eukaryota; Metazoa; Chordata; Actinopteri; Characiformes; Acestrorhamphidae. The transcript is spliced from 3 exons.
AACCUGGUUGUUAGGUGUUGGAUAUUUGUGUUUAGGUUAAAUGUUGUUGAUCUGAUCAUAAACGGUCACAGUAACCUGGUUGUUAGGUGUUGGAUAUUUGUGUUUAGGUUAAAUGUUGUUGAUCGGAUCAUAAACGGUCACAGUAACCUGGUUGUUAGGUGUUGUAUCUUUGUGUUUAGGUUAAAUGUUGUUGAUCGGAUCAUAAACGGU